AUGGGGGGCCAUACCACCUUGAGAACGCCCGAUCCUGUCUGAUCUCCGAAGCUAAGCAGGGUCAGGCCCGGUUAGUACUUGGAUGGGAGACCGCCUGGGAAUGCCGGGUGCUGUAGGCU
RNAcentral lists this ribosomal RNA (119 nucleotides) under Charadrius vociferus (killdeer). Lineage: Eukaryota; Metazoa; Chordata; Aves; Charadriiformes; Charadriidae. The record is from RNAcentral.